AGAGUUUGAUCCUGGCUCAGAUUGAACGCUGGCGGCAUGCUUUACACAUGCAAGUCGAACGGCAGCAUAGGUGCUUGCACCUGAUGGCGAGUGGCGGACGGGUGAGUAAUGCAUCGGGACGUGUCCGGAAGAGGGGGAUAACUGUUCGAAAGAACAGCUAAUACCGCAUAAUAUCCGAGGAAGAAAGCUGGGGACCUUAGGGCCUGGCGCUUACGGGGCGACCGAUGUCUGAUUAGCUAGUUGGUGGGGUAAAAGCCUACCAAGGCGACGAUCAGUAGCUGGUCUGAGAGGACGACCAGCCACACUGGGACUGAGAAACGGCCCAGACUCCUACGGGAGGCAGCAGUGGGGAAUUUUGGACAAUGGGGGCAACCCUGAUCCAGCAAUGCCGCGUGUCUGAAGAAGGCCUUCGGGUUGUAAAGGACUUUUGUUGGGGAGCAAGGUGCACAGGUUAAGAGCUAGUGUACUUGAGAGUACCCAAAGAAUAAGGACCGGCUAACUACGUGCCAGCAGCCGCGGUAAUAUGUAGGGUCCAAGCGUUAAUCGGAAUUACUGGGCGUAAAGAGUGCGCAGGCGGCUUUGUAAGCUUGAUGUGAAAUCCCCGGGCUCAACCUGGGAACUGCAUUGAGGACUGCAAGGCUAGAGUGUAGCAGAGGGGGGUAGAAUUCCACGUGUAGCGGUGAAAUGCGUAGA
Molecule: ribosomal RNA, 693 nt
Filed under: uncultured bacterium
Lineage: Bacteria
Description: bacterial SSU rRNA
Rfam family: Bacterial small subunit ribosomal RNA
Source: RNAcentral